UUGGGAUGUUAGGAAGCUCCGAUGACAAAGAGCAAGCAGGAGGGGAAGCCUCACUCCCACAGCAAGUGUCCCUUUGCUUCUCCCCCUUCCCCAUCGCCUCCUUGGAAGCCCUGAGGAACAGGUGAAAGGGCUGUAGGUGAAGCAGGUGAAAGUCUCACCCAAUACCAUGGAGGAGGCAGAAAAACAACUGCGACACCCUCCCAGUAGUCCCUCACACUCAUUCAGGGCCUGUAUUUUUCUAAAGAGCUUUUACAGUAAUUCACUAUCUAUUAGUCCCAUUUGUGCUUUGCACCACACAACGGACUCUGCAGGAUCUCUCGCUUUCAUCCUCACAACCACCCAUUUUAAAGAUGACAAGAUUAGGCUCAGAGGUUAAAGGAGAGCUACUAAGCAGUGGAGACAGGAGGAAACGUCAGUUCUAUUCAGGCCAGGGCUUCCCAAAUUUUAAUUUGCUCAUGACUCACCUGGGGAGACCUGUGAAUAAUCAGACUCCUGAUUCCGUAGGCUGAGACUGGGCUCUACACUUGCAACAAGCUCCCAGGUAAAUGGACUACUUUGUAUCUGGGGCUAGAUUUAAUUUCCAUUAAGACAGCGCCUGUCUCACCCAAUCCCCAGGGCUUAGCACUGGGCCUGCCCCAUAGAAUGCACUCAAUAAUUAUUUGUUGAAUGAGUCAAUGAGUACCUGACUCAAAAACCAAUGCUUAAACAAUUCUCUGUAUCAAGUCCCAUUACGUCAUUGGACCUAGUAACAAAUCUCUAAGGUGUGUUCAUCCCCAUUUGACAGAUACGGAAACAGGCUCAAAGGAGAAACAGCCUAGGGUUUUACAGCUUUUGCAACAGGGCUGCAGGCAGUCUACAUUCAGAUCCGUCGCCCUGAGCACAGCUGUCCCAAGGUUGAGGGGGAAAAUAAUAACUAGAGACCGCAGGAGGGCGAGAAGCUGGACCUAUCCGGGCAUGUGACCAGCUCACGGCGCCGGUCACCCAGGAGCUCCGAGCUGCUCCCCGGGGGAGGGGUACCCAGGCUCUGUGCCCCCGUGAGGGGACACGGAGGAGGGAAGAAGGCCGGUCCUGGGCAGAGCGCCUGGCAGCGGCGGGCAGGUGGCGAGUGACCCCUGCCCUGACGGAGAGCCCCGCUGGGCCCAAGCACCCCCGCGGGUCCCAGCUCCGGUCUGACGCUGUCCAGCACGGGGUGUGGGCGGGCGGGGGAGGGCCAGGGGCAUCCCAGGAAAUUGCAGCCUGGCGAUGAAUCACCCGGCCAACGACCCCGCAGCGGAGGGUGCGGGACGGGCGCGGGAUGCGUCUGGGCUCGGGGAGCGCAGGCCUCGCGCCCGUCAACCUCGCUCGCUUUGGGGCGCGAGGGGAAGCCUGCCCCGCGCAGCCCCAGUCCCGACCCCCGGGUUUCCCGGUGGGGCGGCACUCACGGCCUUCAGCUGCUCCAGCCGGUCCUUCAUCCCGGCGUCCCGGCGCCCGGAGGCAGGCGAGCGCGUCCCAGGCAAAAGUCUGGAUUCCACCUGCUACUGGCAUACAGGAAACUGAAAAUUAAGUCAAGUGACUGCAGGACAAGGGACCUGGGUGAGGAGAGCCCUGGGCAUUGAGGAAGACUCUGCUCUUGAGCCCAAGAAGUCUGGAGGGUCUCCAUGCAGGCGGACAGGGAUGAAGGUUCCAGGCUUAGUAGGAGCCCCUUGUCCCUGAUGUGUUUUGAUUUCUCUGCCCCAUCCACUACAUCUUAGUGCAGCUGUCUCCCUGUUAAACAAAUACUGUCAAGAUUAAUAUAAGUGUCUGCAUUUUGGCUAUCAGUCAAUCAGGUGACACUUAAUUUCACCUUUACAAACAAACCAAAGAGAUAAUCCUGGGAUUUGGGAGCUCCAUGUCCCUCUCUCUCCUCCCCUAAGCCUCUUUCUUUCCCAAUGGAGAAAUGAAUUGAGCCUUACCCCAUCUGGACCUCCAGGGCCUGCUAUGGAACAAGUGAAACCACUUUCGGGCUGGUGGACCUUGAGGCAGUAUCUCCUCCAGGGCGUGGUGUUCAGUAGAAAGAGAUACGGGAGGCAAGGGAAUUGAAGGGGAAGAUCCCUUUCAUUCCCUACUACAAUCCCCCCCGCAGGGAGGAUGGAGAAUAAACUUCCUGACUUGUA
Manis javanica (Malayan pangolin) is the source of this 2132-nucleotide non-coding RNA. The record is from RefSeq and is a predicted model, not a curated record. NCBI's taxonomy places the organism in Eukaryota, Metazoa, Chordata, Mammalia, Pholidota, Manidae.